Molecule: ribosomal RNA, 462 nt
Filed under: uncultured bacterium
Lineage: Bacteria
Description: partial 16S ribosomal RNA
Rfam family: Bacterial small subunit ribosomal RNA
Source: RNAcentral
GACGAACGCUGGCGGCGUGCUUAACACAUGCAAGUCGAACGGAAAGGCCCUUCGGGGUACUCGAGUGGCGAACGGGUGAGUAACACGUGGGUGAUCUGCCCUGCACUUUGGGAUAAGCCUGGGAAACUGGGUCUAAUACCGAAUAGGACCACGCGCUUCAUGGUGUGUGGUGGAAAGCUUUUGCGGUGUGGGAUGGGCCCGCGGCCUAUCAGCUUGUUGGUGGGGUAAUGGCCUACCAAGGCGACGACGGGUAGCCGGCCUGAGAGGGUGACCGGCCACACUGGGACUGAGAUACGGCCCAGACUCCUACGGGAGGCAGCAGUGGGGAAUAUUGCACAAUGGGCACAAGCCUGAUGCAGCGACGCCGCGUGAGGGAUGACGGCCUUCGGGUUGUAAACCUCUUUCACCAGGGACGAGGCGUAAGUGACGGUACCUGGAGAAGAAGCACCGGCCAACUACGUG